Molecule: long non-coding RNA, 681 nt
Filed under: Bemisia tabaci
Lineage: Eukaryota; Metazoa; Arthropoda; Insecta; Hemiptera; Aleyrodidae
Description: lncRNA ENSSSA1NGG013458
Source: RNAcentral
CAAAGACCAACUUCAAACACCAGCCGCAACUCACAUUCUCUUAAGUGCGCGGCACAUCGACGCAUCACGCGUACAGAUUACACACCGCAGAGGGUUCCCGUUCGAGAAAUAUAGAGACGGCCCUUCAUAUUUUUAUUUGCUGAGAGAGAGAAUUUCUGAUAAAUUCGGUACUCUUCGUGAGACUUUUGUUAAGGGUGUUUACCACGGAACAUUUCUCCACGUAAAAUUGGCCACGGAAAAUUUCACCACGGGAAGCAUCACGGAAAGCACCACAGAAAGCACCAUACGAACAGAGGAAAGUGAAUCCAGCGCAUCCCUGUGCAACAACAAACAGCUUUUGAAAAGAGUCCAGCACUGCUCGUCAAAAGCGUUCUAUCUCGUGUUCCUCCAUUAGUAUGCGGUGGACUUCGCCUGGAGACAAAGUUACGACCAACAAUGCAGAAGCCACGGACCGCUCAUGAGACUUGAGGAUGACAUUCGCGGAUGAAACAGUCCAGGUCACUGUGUCGCCUCUGAUUAACCUCACCCACAAAAGAAUAGAGCCCGAGGGAAUAAAUGCGCCUGAAUUUCGGCGACAAAAGGAGGCAGUGGGCUGUCUUGCCGCAUAACCUAGCUCAUUUUUGAAACCGCCGAGCGCUCCCCUCACACUUUUACACAUGUUCCCAUGGUGUUAUCACUUCC